CCUACGGGAGGCAGCAGUGAGGAAUAUUGGUCAAUGGUCGGGAGACUGAACCAGCCAAGCCGCGUGAGGGAUGAAGGUACAGAGUAUCGUAAACCUCUUUUGUCAGGGAACAAAGGCGGGGACGUGUCCCCGGAUGAGUGUACCUGAAGAAAAAGCAUCGGCUAACUCCGUGCCAGCAGCCGCGGUAAUACGGAGGAUGCUAGCGUUAUCCGGAUUUAUUGGGUUUAAAGGGUGCGCAGGCGGUUUGUUAAGUCAGCGGUCAAAGCCCGGGGCUCAACCCCGGCCCGCCGUUGAAACUGGCAGUCUAGAGUUGGAGAGAAGUAUGCGGAAUGCGCGGUGUAGCGGUGAAAUGCAUAGAUAUCGCGCAGAACUCCGAUUGCGAAGGCAGCAUGCCGGCUCCACGCUGACGCUGAGGCACGAAAGCGUGGGUAUCGAACAGGAUUAGAUACCCCUGUAGUC
This 459-nucleotide ribosomal RNA is filed under the name uncultured bacterium. RNAcentral describes it as "partial 16S ribosomal RNA". It matches the Rfam family "Bacterial small subunit ribosomal RNA", at positions 338 to 795 of the family's 1533-position model. The record is from RNAcentral.